ACCCUUCGGAUUCCUUGUCCCUCAGAUCUAAAUAGUGGUCUGAGUGGCUGAAAAAGAAGGAAAAGUAAAACUUAAGUGGACUUGGAGUCUUUAAUAACUUACGAGUUCAUUUCAAACAUCG
RNAcentral lists this small nucleolar RNA (121 nucleotides) under Echinops telfairi (small Madagascar hedgehog). RNAcentral's name for it is "Small nucleolar RNA SNORA61 (ENSETEG00000025390.1)". It matches the Rfam family "Small nucleolar RNA SNORA61". Rfam says of the family: ACA61 is a member of the H/ACA class of snoRNA that guide the sites of modification of uridines to pseudouridines. The record is from RNAcentral. Lineage: Eukaryota; Metazoa; Chordata; Mammalia; Afrosoricida; Tenrecidae.